AUUUGGCGACACGAUGAAACUGAAUUCUUCUAUGAAGAAGCAAUAUUGAAGAUAACCAUAUAUGGAAAGGAAUUGGAAUUCCGAGAAUUUGGAAUUCAAGACUUGCUUUUUCCCCAGUGGUUAUGAUAGAGAUUUAUAAUUUGCAUCAGGACAUGACACCCAUUUUCAUCUGUAAGAAGAGUGCCGCCUCAGAUUCUGCCUUAACUUGGGUAAUACAUCUUCCAGGAUGGUAUUCUUUUUUAGUUAAUGGGACAACCCAUUUCUCGUCUAUCAGAAUGUCGACUACCUUCUAAGAAGUCCAAGUCAAAUUGGU
This is a long non-coding RNA of Argiope bruennichi, 313 nucleotides long. RefSeq lists it as uncharacterized. The transcript has 4 exons. Lineage: Eukaryota; Metazoa; Arthropoda; Arachnida; Araneae; Araneidae. The record is from RefSeq and is a predicted model, not a curated record.